Molecule: long non-coding RNA, 7073 nt
Filed under: Vitis vinifera (wine grape)
Lineage: Eukaryota; Viridiplantae; Streptophyta; Magnoliopsida; Vitales; Vitaceae
Description: long non-coding RNA (VVIN_LNC001034)
Source: RNAcentral
UUGGUUGAUUCUGUAUCACUUGGUAGAAGGAUGUGCAUCUAUUUUGAUACUAAUGCUGGGCGUAUUAUUAUAAGGUUUCUGUUGGAUUAUCUCAAACAAUUACUUGUCAACAAUGAAAUGAACAGGCAUUGAUAGAUACAAUGAAAUGUACUUGAUAAAUUCUAUUGGCUUGAUAUUUCUUACCAGAAAUCUUUUUGUAUUUAUCUUUACUAUACUUUAUAGCAUCCCAUUGGUAAUGAUAAGAUAUGCAACCAAUAGAAAUGCUUUGCCCUCCAUCAGUGGCCAACCUCAUUCUAAAUAACUUACUAAGCUCCCAUAUUCUAGAAGUUCAAAUAUCCAUAAAAAUUAAAUAUUCAUAAAAAUAAGGGGAAUGAUUUAAAUUUUAUUCCCCUUUGUGUGGCUUCCAGGUUAAGAAUAAGCAUUACAGGUUGUUGCAGUAGAUCAGUGUAUUUUUAGAUAAGCUUCCUCUGUAAAGUCUUGACUUGCAGAUUGCCAACUGUCCUCGGCAGUUCGUUCUCCACCUGAAUAAGUAUGCGACUGCACAAGCAAAGCUGAGUGAAGACGAGGCUUUGAGGGUGAGAUACAAAUCCGGAACUCCACUUGAAGGAGGGAAGAUUGCUGAAAGUGAACCUGUCGAUCUCUUCUCUAGUGCUCGGAAUAUUUCUUCUACUCACACAACUAAUACUACACACCCUUCUACCACUGAUGAUCAGCAGCCUCAAAGGUCGAGUCAUGACUCUUUAAGUCUGGAAGAGAUUCUAAUGCUUCAGGUUAAAGUAAUUAGGGUUUAAGAAGGGAGUUGUAUUUCCAUAUUUUCUGUCUUCUGUCCUAGAGCCUUGGUUCCUCCUUUCUUUCCCCCUAUCCUCUCGUUGGAGUUGUAAUAAUAAAGGCUUACUGACCACUUGGUUAUUGCUGUCCGUCGAAGAACACUAAAGGAAACCAAGAGAACCGACAAUCUAUUUCAAGUUCUCGCCCAAUGCCCAACCCACAAAAUGUAAGGAAAGCGGUGGGCAUCCAGUGGCAUAGGCAUCACCCACAAUCAUGGUCAGAGCCCAACCCAAAUCAAUUUCUUGGAUUUGGUGGAAGAACAUCAAGAACCAAUCUUGAUUAAAAGCCAAAGCAAUUGAAAACAAAUGAAAGCAUAACCUUUCUUAUUUGGAUUUUCUCUUAAAUUCUAGAACCGACAAAAAAAGCCCCAAACAAGAAAUUUUUUUAAAUCUUUAACUAUGACUCAAUUAACUUCUUUUUAACAUUCUUGAUUAUUACAAUAGACAAGCAGUUUUUGAAUAAAAAUUUAUUCUUUAAAAGUGUAAUAUGAUCUCUACAUAAUCUAAAUUACUUUAUAAGUUUGAUAUUUUUUAAAUAGUUCUGUUAUAAACUAUAAUCUAAUUUCUGUAAGACUAUUUUUUGUAAUGAUUUCAGGAAAUAUUCCUAAUUUUCGUAAUACUUCAAAAUUUUUAUUAAAAGAUUUGUUGUCAAAUAUUUAACAAAAGUUAGAAGCGUUUUUUAAAUCAUUGUGUUCAAAAUAUGUUUUAAAUACAUUACAUAAUAAGCUUUUAAAAGACAUUUCUAGAAAAAAAAAAAAAAAAAAAGAAUAGUACAAAUAUUGGAAUGUGAUUUGAGUCACCCCAAAUUCAUGACUAUCCUAAUGUAGAAAACUUGAUCUUAAUCAAAUGGCACUACAAAAUUGAAAUGUUAUAAAUAAAUAAUCUAUUAUUUUGAACACAUUUUAAUACUGAGAUUGCCAAGAUUUUAAAAAAUCAACUGCCACGAAGGGAAAGAUCAACGUGAAAGAGCAUCUUUAUCAAAAACGGGUCAUAGAUCAAAGUUGAGAAAGUUAAGGUUAUUUAUAUAAAUAAAAGUCUUAUUUAGGCCCUUUUAAUCAAAUAAUUUUAAUUUUAAUAAUUUGAACAUUCUAAAGCAUGAUUCUCCUUACUGGAAAAUGAAAAUAUUAUUAUACGAAAGUCUUGAUGAUUGUUGAUUAGAACCUAAAAAGGUUUUUUUUUUUUUUUUAAAUAUUUUUAUCUUUAUUUUUCCUUUUUUAAAUUCCAUUUUAGAGGUAGUCCUAUUUGCAUUGUUUAAAUCUAAAAUUUUAAUUUUAAUCAAAUAAUCCUUAUUUUGAUGGUGUUUUGUAAAUCUAAAAUUUGCUGGUAAAGUAAAUUAACAAUUUGGAUUUUGUAAGAGUGUGUUUAACGGUGACUUUAUAAUAAAAAUUUUCAAAUGUUAAUAAUAAAAAUUUACCCAUGCUUCCUAGAAUCACUGUGGAAUAAGUUCUAAAUCUACAAUUUUAAUUUUUUUCAUUAUUGAAACAAGUUUCACUUUAUAUAACUUCAUCUCUUAAAUAUAUCUCUCAUCAAUUUCACAACAAAAGAUUAAACAAUUUCCAUGGUAUAGCCCACAUUCUGAGCCCUUUUUACAUAAUGCAUGAGCCUAUAAACCACUCUAAUUUUGUUGUAGAUUUUAGAAGUGUGUAGAAAAUCAAAUUUUAAAAUAAUAUUUUUUUACCACAAAUAUAGUAAAUAAAUAAAUUUUAAAUUCAUCUAUUCAAAUUCUAUCAAACCAUGUCAUGGUAACAUAAAAAUCAUGAUUCAAUGUGUAUUAAUUACUAAUUCUUUUGUUAUUUCUCAAAGUUUUUUUUUAUGGUUUCUUUUAAUUUUUACCAAAAUUUUUAUUCCCAUUUCAAUCAAUUUUUUCAUAAAAUCCGACCAUCUAUAUUUUGAUUUAACGCUUUGAUCAUUGGUGCCAAUUCUUAUAGGAUGGUAGAAAAUAGUUUUCAAUAUUGUUUUUAGGAUGAUUUUUUUUAUUUUACUACUAACAUGUGAGUCUUGAUUUUUUAUUUUAUUUUUAAUAUCUUAAUUUUUAAAUAGUUUUAAACCCUUGUGUUAACAAAAAUAAAUAAAUAAAUAAAUAAAUAAAUCUCGACUUAAAUAGAAUUUUUUACAAUUUAAAAAGAAAAAGAAAAAGAAAAAAGUCAUUUGAAGAUAUAUGUCAAUAGAAAGUCAUCUUUUCAUAUUUUCAAUUAUAUCAUCUAAAAUAUUGAUCUUUUUAUGCAUUUUUUUUUAUCAAUAAUAUAUUUUAAUUGUAUAAAUACUAUCUUUUGAUAGGAAACUUUAACCAUUUUUAAAGGUUUUUUUUUUUUCAAAAACUUAUACCAAAAUGAAAGUUUUUUCAAAACAAUAUAUAUCGAAAGGAGAUUUAGAUGCUACUUAAUAACUGUUUUUUAUAAUAGUUUUCCAUUCUCCAAAACAUAAAAAAUAGAAAAAUAUGUUUGAUUAUCAUAGAACUGUCUUUUGUUCUAUUAUUAAAAAUAUCAAAUAAAGUGUUUUCAAAUAAUAUUUUUUAAUUGUUUUCAAUUACUUUCACUUAUUUUGAGUUGUUUCAAAACAUAAUUAUACAAAUAUAAAAUAACUAAAAAUAAAAUAAUAGACAAAAACUAUUUUUAAAACAUUAAAAACAAGUUAAAAAUGUUUUAAGUUCUUAAAUAAACUUUUAUUCUAUGAACAUAAAAAAUAAAAAAAUAAAAAAAAAAGUUUUUAAAAAGUAAUUAAAAAACAAUUACCUCAAAAGUUAAUCAUCGUGUCUUGUUUUCUCAGUCGAAAAAUCUAAGGUUGUCCUAGCCUUUUUUACCCCAAAUGUCACUCUUGUAUUUUUUUUUUCAGCAUUAUUUAACGAAAAAGAGAAGUGGCCCAAGGACCAUCCCUUGGCCUAAAUUUAUAGCAAGCCAAAGUUCAUUCAAACCCUUUCCACCAAAGUAGGUUUUUUUUUUUUUUGAUCAUCUUAUUUCUCUAAGCUAACCCCAUAUCCAAAAUAGAUUGAACUAAUGGCAUCUUUAAAUUGGCUUGUAACUUGGGGUGUCAAUCCGAGUUUCAAGUUCAAGUUUCAAAGCAUUGGUUCUAAGUAAUGUUUUCAUAAUCAGAUAUGUCAUUGAACUGGAAAAGUUAUUGAUUCAUUAGUCAGAUCGGCGGUCGAACUAUGGUCGAACCAAUAAUGUCAUAAAUAUAUAUUUUAUAUAUUAUUAAAAUUUAAAAUAAUUUAAAAAAUAAAAAUAAUAAAUUAUGAGGAACAUAAUAUUUUUAGAAAUUUAUUUAAAAUCAUAAUGUUCUCAUUAAUUUAAAUUUAAAUUAUAAAUUUUAAAAAUCAUAAAGUUAAAAAAAUUACAAUUGUAAAAUUAAAAUAAAUAACAAUGAAAAUAAACUAAUAAAGUAAAUGAAAAUAAAAAAAAAUAUAAGGAAAAUCUAAAAAAUGUGAGUGAAACACUCAUAAUAUCGUGUUUUUGUAUUUAAAUGUUAUUUCCUCAUAUUUUUAUUUUAUAGUUCAUAUUGAACCACACAUAAAAUAUUAAGAUUGAAAUAUUUAUGUUAUUAAAUCACUAAUUCAACAUUUUUUUUUAAAUUUAACUAUUAUACCAAAAAACAAACUUUUCUGUAUCACAUAUCUCUUUUUCAAUCAAUGACAAAUUUUUAUGUAUAUAAUUGGUAUUUUCAACCAAUAACAAACUUCUAUAUAUAUAAUUAAUAUUUUAAGAUUUUCCUUUUUAAAAAUGAUUAGAUAGUAAUGUAAUAUAGAAUUGGAUUUAAAAUUUACAAAAUUAUAGCCACAAAUUUAAUCAUAAACUUUGAUAUUCCAAAGUUAAUAAAAUGAGUCAUUCAAUCCAGCUUGUUGUGUUAUUGUUCUUAGUUUCAUCAAAGUUCCCAACAGUUGUAGCUAUCAACAACUAGUGGCGACGUAUUGGGGUGGCGUUGGAGGUGCCGACAGUGACAUAGAAAUUAUCAAUAUCCACUAUACAAAAACCAAACAUUUUGUAGGCUUGCAUAAAAAUUAUCAAUAUCCAAAAAUUAAUUAUUCACAAUAAAUUUUAAUAUUUUUUAUGUGGUCUGCUUCCAAAUGUAAAUAACAAAUUAAAAAAAAAAAAAGAGAAUUAUGUUUUGGGGGUAGAUGGGCCCCCAAAUUAACAAAAGGUCCAUGUAACUAUUCAAAUUGAACCCAAGACCUAAUGAAAGUAUGGAAAUUGAGUUGAAGGAUAUCAUCCUUCAGUAUUUCCAAAAAUGCCCUUUGUUGAUUUUGAGAAAAAAAUUAAUAUUUUUGAAAAAUAAUUUUAUUUAAUUUAAUAUUUUUUAUUUAAUUUAAUAUUUUAAAAAAAUACUUUUAUGUAAUUUAAUAUUUUUUAAAAUACUUUUAUUUAAUUUAAUAUUUUUUAAAAAUAAAUUUAUUUAAUUUAAUAUUUAAAAAAUAUUUAAUUUAAUAUUUUUUUAAAUACUUUAAUUUAAUUUAAUAUUUUUGAAAUCUACUUUUAUUUAAUUUAGUAUUUUUUUUAAAAAAAUUAUUUAACUUAAUUUUAUAAAAUAUUUUAUAUGUGUUCUUAAAGGGUAUAUUUGUCCGUUACUAUUUCAUAUCCUUCAACUCAAUUUGAAGAGUUAUAUGAAUCUUUUGUUAAUUUGGGAGCCUAUCUACCCCCAAAAGAUAAUUCUCCCAAAAAAAUAUAUCAAAUUUUAAAUUAUUCUAAAUUAAAUUUCAAUUUUGUUAAAAUUGUCACAUUUAUAACAUACAAUCUAAAAGUUAAAGACCAUUUAAGCUAAUUUUUAUUAUAAUAGGUAUUAUUAGCAAAAACUAAUUUUACAAUUACGAGAAUGGUAGUUCUUGGGUCAUCCACGUGCGACCUACCCAACAUUCAACUUCAAGCAUUCAAUUUGCGGUCCUGAUUUUCAUCCAACUAAUUUCUUGGAAUCCAAACACACUGCAGUGGUUAAAAGGAAAAUACCAAAAAAAGAAUAAAACAAAGAGAGAAAGAGAAACAGAUGGAAACUGAAGGUGGGAAGGGUUAAAUUAUAAGUAUUUUACAUUCCAGAAAAAACAUUUUGCUUCUCUUUCUCUGUGAGAAGAUGGACCCGAAUGGUGGAUCGAGCUCCGCAGGGGCCGCAGAUGGAGCAUCUGAUCCCGCAGCUGCACGUAGGAGGCAUUCCAAGAAACCCAAAUGUGUAUUUCUUUUCUCUCUCUCCUUCAUUAUAGCUAUUUAUAUUUGUAAUUUCUUCUUUCUUUUCGUGUAUUAGAUUAUUAUUACUGCCAUUUACGUUUUUUUUUUUGGUCGGUGGGGUUGGGGCGGAGGAAUUUGAAGGGCAAAUCUGCAAUGUUGUGGAUCAGUUAUACAUUGUGUUAUAAUUCAAAUUUUCAAUAUUCUUGAGUGGCAUUACCUUUGGUCAUAUUUUGGAUCAAUUCUUGGAAUUUCUGGGUGGUGGCAUUAGCAUGAGUGAAUCGAAUCUGGGUUUCAUUCUCUUCAAGAAUUGGUAUCUGGGUACUCUAUUUGCUAUCCAAUCGCUUUAGGCGCUUACUGUAUUUUUAUUUUUUUUCUUUGGGUUUGGUGGUUUUAUUAGUAGACAGUAGAUAUGAAACUUGUUAAACCAUUCUGAAUGUAUGUAACAUUUAACUCAACACACAUGAGGGUAUUUACCUGGAGGAGACAUUACCCAGAGGAUGCUGCCACCUUUCAAAAUGAAUGCAAGCUUAUGUGUGUAUAUAUGUAUGUAUUAUUUAUGUAUUUUGUUUGAUAUGAGUUGUGAAUUUGGGUUAAAUUUGGAGUAAUGUGGCCUCCAUUUUUAUUCAAAGUUAAUGCAUGUAAUGUGAAUCAACCACACUACUAACAACAUGCUAAAUUAACUUCAAGGGGUAGGGAGUGCUGCCAAAAUAGUCAUUAGACUCAUUACCUUAAGGUCAUGUUUGGAUCGCUGGAAUAGAGAAUGGGAAUGGGAAAUCAAUUCCAUUUCUACUCAUUAAUCUCUUUGAAUUGAUUUUUAGAAUGGGAGUGGGAAUAAAAGAUUCAUUAGUAUGGAAACCAAAUCCCACUGUCACUAGGAUUUUGAUUCCUUUCUUUUACAUGGUAUUGUGAUUCACCUAUGACUGUAAGUUAUGCUAGCUGAUGGAUAUAUUUGAAUUUGGUACUAAUCUAUAGCAUGUGAUUUUCAAAGCUUUUUAUGCUCUGUUAUCACCCUGACAGUUUCUUUAUGCUAUUUUCCAUACACUAAAUUGUAAACGCUGUUGUUAUACAGUUCCCUAUUAAAAUUCUUUUAGUUCAUUUUUUA